Molecule: ribosomal RNA, 301 nt
Filed under: uncultured bacterium
Lineage: Bacteria
Description: partial 16S ribosomal RNA
Rfam family: Bacterial small subunit ribosomal RNA
Source: RNAcentral
CAGCCGCCACGGUAAUACAGAGGGUGCGAGCGUUAAUCGGAUUUACUGGGCGUAAAGCGUGCGUAGGCGGCUUCUUAAGUCGGAUGUGAAAUCCCUGAGCUUAACUUAGGAAUUGCAUUCGAUACUGGGAAGCUAGAGUAUGGGAGAGGAUGGUAGAAUUCCAGGUGUAGCGGUGAAAUGCGUAGAGAUCUGGAGGAAUACCGAUGGCGAAGGCAGCCAUCUGGCCUAAUACUGACGCUGAGGUACGAAAGCAUGGGGAGCAAACAGGAUUAGAUACCCCUGUAGUCCUGUCUCUUAUACA